Molecule: ribosomal RNA, 465 nt
Filed under: uncultured bacterium
Lineage: Bacteria
Description: partial 16S ribosomal RNA
Rfam family: Bacterial small subunit ribosomal RNA
Source: RNAcentral
GACGAACGCUGGCGGCGUGCUUAACACAUGCAAGUCGAACGGAAAGGCCCUGCUUGCAGGGUACUCGAGUGGCGAACGGGUGAGUAACACGUGGGUGAUCUGCCCUGCACUUCGGGAUAAGCCUGGGAAACUGGGUCUAAUACCGGAUAGGAGCCAUUUUUAGUGUGAUGGUUGGAAAGUUUUUUCGGUGUAGGAUGAGCUCGCGGCCUAUCAGCUUGUUGGUGGGGUAAUGGCCUACCAAGGCGGCGACGGGUAGCCGGCCUGAGAGGGUGGACGGCCACAUUGGGACUGAGAUACGGCCCAGACUCCUACGGGAGGCAGCAGUGGGGAAUAUUGCACAAUGGGCGCAAGCCUGAUGCAGCGACGCCGCGUGGGGGAUGACGGCCUUCGGGUUGGAAACUCCUUUCGCUAGGGACGAAGCUUUUUGUGACGGUACCUAGAUAAGAAGCACCGGCUAACUACGUG